This 253-nucleotide ribosomal RNA is filed under the name uncultured bacterium. Its description in RNAcentral is "partial 16S ribosomal RNA". It matches the Rfam family "Bacterial small subunit ribosomal RNA", at positions 524 to 776 of the family's 1533-position model. The record is from RNAcentral.
UACGUAGGUGGCAAGCGUUGUCCGGAUUUACUGGGCGUAAAGAGCGCGCAGGCGGUCGUGCAAGUCGCGUGUGAAAGCCCCCGGCUCAACUGGGGAGGGUCACGCGAUACUGCUCGACUUGAAGGCAGGAGAGGGAAGUGGAAUUCUCGGUGUAGCGGUGAAAUGCGUAGAUAUCGAGAGGAACACCUGCGGCGAAGGCGGGUUGCUGGGCUGACACUGACGCUGAGGCGCGAAAGCUAGGGGAGCGAACGGG